Molecule: ribosomal RNA, 460 nt
Filed under: uncultured bacterium
Lineage: Bacteria
Description: partial 16S ribosomal RNA
Rfam family: Bacterial small subunit ribosomal RNA
Source: RNAcentral
CCUACGGGUGGCAGCAGUGAGGAAUAUUGGUCAAUGGCCGGAAGGCUGAACCAGCCAAGUCGCGUGAGGGACGACUGCCCUAUGGGUUGUAAACCUCUUUUAUAAGGGAAGAAUAUAUGCUACGUGUAGCAUGAUGCCUGUACCUUAUGAAUAAGCAUCGGCUAACUCCGUGCCAGUAGCCGCGGUAAUACGGAGGAUGCGAGCGUUAUCCGGAUUUAUUGGGUUUAAAGGGUGCGUAGGCGGGUUUUUAAGUUUGUUGGUAAAGCUUCGGGGCUAAACUUAGAAUUGCAAUUAAUACUGGAAGACUCGAGUACAGACGAGGUAGGCGGAAUAAGUGAUGUAGCGGUGAAAUGCUUAGAUAUAACGUAGAACUCCGAUAGCGAAGGCAGCUUACUGGACUGCAACUGACGCUGAAGCACGAGAGCGUGGGUAGCAAACAGGAUUAGAUACCCCGGUAGUC